GUCUACAGCCAUGCUACCCUGAACAAGCCUGAUCCCGUCUGAUCUUGGAAGCUAAGCAGGGUCAGGCCUUGGAUGGGAGACAACCUAGGAAGAGCAGGUGCUAUAGGUG
This 109-nucleotide ribosomal RNA is filed under the name Pteropus alecto (black flying fox). The record is from RNAcentral. Lineage: Eukaryota; Metazoa; Chordata; Mammalia; Chiroptera; Pteropodidae.